RNAcentral lists this ribosomal RNA (494 nucleotides) under uncultured bacterium. RNAcentral's name for it is "bacterial SSU rRNA". It matches the Rfam family "Bacterial small subunit ribosomal RNA", at positions 32 to 506 of the family's 1533-position model. The record is from RNAcentral.
AAUCAACGCUGGCGGCGUGCCUAACACAUGCAAGUCGAGCGCGAAAGGGGGCAACCCCGAGUAGAGCGGCGAACGGGUGAGUAACGCGUGGGUGAUUUGCCUCCGAGUGGGGAACAACACCGGGAAACUGGUGCUAAUACCGCAUGACAUCCUCGGGUCGUACUGGGGAUCAAAGCUGGGGACCGCAAGGCCUAGCGCUUGGAGAGAAGCCCGCGUCCGAUUAGCUAGUUGGUGGGGUAANGGCCUACCAAGGCGACGAUCGGUAGCCGGCCUGAGAGGGCGGACGGCCACACUGGGACUGAGACACGGCCCAGACUCCUACGGGAGGCAGCAGUGGGGAAUAUUGGACAAUGGGCGCAAGCCUGAUCCAGCGAUGCCGCGUGUGUGAAGAAGGCCUGCGGGUUGUAAAGCACUUUCAGUAGGGAAGAAAAGCCGAGUGCUAAUAUCAUUCGGUCUUGACGUUUACUUACAGAAGAAGCACCGGCUAACUCCGU